Long non-coding RNA from Humulus lupulus (European hop), 273 nucleotides. RefSeq lists it as uncharacterized. NCBI's taxonomy places the organism in Eukaryota, Viridiplantae, Streptophyta, Magnoliopsida, Rosales, Cannabaceae. The transcript has 2 exons. The record is from RefSeq and is a predicted model, not a curated record.
UUGAUGAGGAAGGGGCAAACACAUUGGUGGCUGUUCAGAAACUGUGAAGCUACACGGGAAAGGAUAACUUGAACCUUUGCUGGCAGAAAUAAAAAAAAAAAAGGCAUAAAGCUAGCUUGGUGAGCAAAUUUUUGUUUAAAGAUUUCAAUGGCCUUGCAAUAUGACUUCGAACUUGCACAUUUGUAGCUUUAUGUUUCAUAUAAGAACGCAGUAAGAACCUUAUUGUCUUGAUUUGUUCAUGAUUAAUUGAUAAUCCAAUUUGAUUUGAGAAAA